Molecule: ribosomal RNA, 492 nt
Filed under: uncultured bacterium
Lineage: Bacteria
Description: partial 16S ribosomal RNA
Rfam family: Bacterial small subunit ribosomal RNA
Source: RNAcentral
AGUGAACGCUGGCGGUAGGCCUAACACAUGCAAGUCGAACGGCAGCACAGUAAGAGCUUGCUCUUACGGGUGGCGAGUGGCGGACGGGUGAGGAAUACAUCGGAAUCUACUUUUUCGUGGGGGAUAACGUAGGGAAACUUACGCUAAUACCGCAUACGACCUACGGGUGAAAGCAGGGGAUCUUCGGGCCUUGCGCGAUUGAAUGAGCCGAUGUCGGAUUAGCUAGUUGGCGGGGUAAAGGCCCACCAAGGCGACGAUCCGUAGCUGGUCUGAGAGGAUGAUCAGCCACACUGGAACUGAGAAACGGUCCAGACUCCUGCGGGAGGCAGCAGUGGGGAAUAUUGGACAAUGGGCGCAAGCCUGAUCCAGCCAUACCGCGUGGGUGAAGAAGGCCUUCGGGUUGUAAAGCCCUUUUGUUGGGAAAGAAAAGCAGCAGGUUAAUACCCCGCUGUUCUGACGGUACCCAAAGAAUAAGCACCGGCUAACUUCGUG